GACGAACGCUGGCGGCGUGCCUAAUACAUGCAAGUUGAGCGAUGAAGAUUGGUGCUUGCACCAAUUUGAAGAGCGGCGAACGGGUGAGUAACGCGUGGGGAAUCUGCCUUUGAGCGGGGGACAACAUUUGGAAACGAAUGCUAAUACCGCAUAACAACUUUAAACAUAAGUUUUAAGUUUGAAAGAUGCAAUUGCAUCACUCAAAGAUGAUCCCGCGUUGUAUUAGCUAGUUGGUGAGGUAAAGGCUCACCAAGGCGAUGAUACAUAGCCGACCUGAGAGGGUGAUCGGCCACAUUGGGACUGAGACACGGCCCAAACUCCUACGGGAGGCAGCAGUAGGGAAUCUUCGGCAAUGGACGAAAGUCUGACCGAGCAACGCCGCGGGAGUGAAGAAGGUUUUCGGAUCGUAAAACUCUGUUGGUAGAGAAGAACGUUGGUGAGAGUGGAAAGCUCAUCAAGUGACGGUAACUACCCAGAAAGGGACGGCUAACUACGUG
This 497-nucleotide ribosomal RNA is filed under the name uncultured bacterium. RNAcentral's name for it is "partial 16S ribosomal RNA". It matches the Rfam family "Bacterial small subunit ribosomal RNA", at positions 28 to 507 of the family's 1533-position model. The record is from RNAcentral.